RNAcentral lists this ribosomal RNA (440 nucleotides) under uncultured bacterium. RNAcentral's name for it is "partial 16S ribosomal RNA". It matches the Rfam family "Bacterial small subunit ribosomal RNA", at positions 338 to 795 of the family's 1533-position model. The record is from RNAcentral.
CCUACGGGAGGCAGCAGUGGGGGAUAUUGCACAAUGGGGGGAACCCUGAUGCAGCGACGCCGCGUGGGUGAAGAAGCGCCUCGGCGCGUAAAGCCCUGUCAGCAGGGAAGAAAAUGACGGUAUCUGAAGAAGAAGCCCCGGCUAACUACGUGCCAGCAGCCGCGGUAAUACGUAGGGGGCAAGCGUUAUCCGGAUUUACUGGGGGUAAAGGGGGCGCAGGCGGCGAUGCAAGCCAGGAGUGAAAGCCCGGGGCUCAACCCCGGGACUGCACUUGGAACUGCGUGGCUGGAGUGCUGGAGGGGCAGGCGGAAUUCCUGGUGUAGCGGUGAAAUGCGUAGAUAUCAGGAGGAACACCGGUGGCGAAGGCGGCCUGCUGGACUGCAACUGACGUUGAGGCCCGAAAGCGUGGGGAGCAAACAGGAUUAGAUACCCCAGUAGUC